Molecule: long non-coding RNA, 792 nt
Organism: Drosophila suzukii
Lineage: Eukaryota; Metazoa; Arthropoda; Insecta; Diptera; Drosophilidae
Source: RefSeq, a predicted model, not a curated record
UAUUUCAUUAAAUUCCUUGUCAAUAAAUAAUUUAUAUCCAUCCUGAACGAGCGCAAUGGAAUUUUUGACGCGAUAGUCGGAUCGACACAAGUAAUACUCCUAUCGAAAGAAGCACAUUGUCGUAUAUAGUUUCGCUAUACCAAUUUUAGUGUUCCUUUGUAAAUCAAUAUAAAUUUUACAAGAAUUCAUUGCUUAAAACGCAUCCUUUGCAACGGAUUUAACACUGAAAUUCGGAACGUUUUCUUUGAAUGUACUUUCGCCAGACACAUCGCAACUCGCGCACAUUGCAGCCCAUUACAAAAAAGGAAACUUGUAGCCGCCGACGUUGUAAACGCUUUGAAGUGGUUUACACUGAUUAGUCUGGUGGAUUGGACAAAAAAUACGCAUGUUGCAGCUUGGCCCAGUCACCGAACGACGAUGGGGUCUACGUACCCACCGCGAUCCCCACCCGAAAAAAAACUCAACAGCCUUUUGCCCCCUGGUACAUUCAGAUCAACGCCGUCACUAAUGAUGAUUGGCAACUAUUCAAAUGAUUAAAGGGUGCACAAAUGAUGAUAUAGCGGCGGGUCUGGAAAGUUGGCGUGAGUGAGGACAGGACUUAGGAAGGCGGAGCUGUGGCUUCUGUUAAGCGCAGCUCUUCGGCGGGUGAACAUUUAAAAGUGUUGCCCAGAAUUAACGCCAGGACAUACAGAGCAGGUUGCCCCUUCUAAUUCAUGUGGGAGAAAAUUAAUUAGAAAAUGGUGCACUAGUGAGCAGACGAAAUUAUCAGGCCUGUUCCAGUUUUCACAUUGU